UCCUGGGUGGUGCAGACAAUUAACACGCUUGGCUGCUAACCGAGAGGUUGGAGGUUCAAGUCCACCCAGAGGUG
Molecule: transfer RNA, 74 nt
Filed under: Loxodonta africana (African savanna elephant)
Lineage: Eukaryota; Metazoa; Chordata; Mammalia; Proboscidea; Elephantidae
Rfam family: tRNA
About the family: Transfer RNA (tRNA) molecules are approximately 80 nucleotides in length. Their secondary structure includes four short double-helical elements and three loops (D, anti-codon, and T loops).
Source: Rfam by way of RNAcentral